RNAcentral lists this ribosomal RNA (458 nucleotides) under uncultured bacterium. Its description in RNAcentral is "partial 16S ribosomal RNA". It matches the Rfam family "Bacterial small subunit ribosomal RNA", at positions 338 to 795 of the family's 1533-position model. The record is from RNAcentral.
CCUACGGGAGACAGCAGUGGGGAAUAUUGCACAAUGGGGGAAACCCUGAUGCAGCGACGCCGCGUGAGUGAAGAAGUAAUUCGUUACGUAAAGCUCUAUCAGCAGGGAAGAAACACUGACCUUACGGUCAGCAGACGGUACCUGAGUAAGAAGCCCCGGCUAACUACGUGCCAGCAGCCGCGGUAAUCCGUAGGGGGCAAGCGUUAUCCGGAUUUACUGGGUGUUAAGGGAGAGUAGACGGUGCGCCAAGUCUGGAGUGAAAUGCCGCAGCUUACAUGCGGAACUGCUUUGGAAACUGGCGAACUAGAGUGCGGGAGGGGUAAGCGGAAGUCCUAGUGUAGCGGUGAAAUGCGUAGAUAUUAGGAGGAACACCGAUGGCGAAGGCGGCUUACUGGACCGUAACUGACGUUGAGGCUCGAAAGCGUGGGGAGCAAACAGGAUUAGAUACCCUGGUAGUC